ACCUAGCAGCAUGUAGUGGCUACCCAGUAGAAUAGAAAGAUGAACCUCUAGGUGCAGUUAACAUGUGAUACAGUCCUACUAUCAUGGAUCCCUACAGGACGGAGGUCAUGGACAACUCGUCAAACCCCAUCGUCUGUCAUAUGUCAAGAUUUAUUCGACUUGAGUUCGAUAGUGAAAAACUCUUUUUCCACUUUAUAUUACUGCCCUGGCCAAGGUCUUA
RNAcentral lists this long non-coding RNA (220 nucleotides) under Phoenix dactylifera (date palm). RNAcentral's name for it is "long non-coding RNA (PDAC_LNC022422)". Lineage: Eukaryota; Viridiplantae; Streptophyta; Magnoliopsida; Arecales; Arecaceae. The record is from RNAcentral.